ACAUGUAACAUCUUCACCCUCUCAGUUCAACAACUAAUGUUUUUGUUCAAUUUAUAUUUCGAAAUGGUUCAACUAACAUCCUGAUCUAAUUAUGUAGGUGUGGACAAAAAAACAACAACUACCUUGAAUAACUGGGGAGAGUGACUUCUUCUUUUGUCCUUCUUUUUUCUUAAACCCUUUAACGGACAAAAAUGGAAAAUGAAUAUGUUGUGAUCGCUAACUUGUAUAAUCGUCUUCUUUCUUUAAACCCUUAAACAGGUAAAAAUAGAAAUUGAAUAUGUUGUGACUGUUAACUUGUAUAAUCUACAUUUACAAUUUCAUGUUCAGUCAAGGACAUGAUUUUUGUUUGAAUGAAGAUGGUCGGCAUAGGAACAAAAGGGCAUGAAAACAUUGAGCAGUGAGUUUCUCCAUUCGUCGUCUUCUUCUUAAUUAUUUUCCUUGCAAAGGAAUGAAAUUACCCGCAUUUACUAACAAAUUCACCUAUACAUUUGUUUCUUCUACUUUUGUUAUUGAGUUAGCUGUAGCUGCUCAAUGAAGUUUAAUUAAUGAACGUCAAAGUGACGAAUGACACAAGAAGUUAUACGUUCAGGCCCAAAAAUCCUAUCGGGAUUAGAUUCUAUGAACUGUUUUCUCACUUGAAAAUGAGAUGAGAGCAAAUUGCUUGGUUGUUUGAAGAAAUUAAUUCUAGAAGAGGUACAUGAUGUCUAAUCAAUGUUCUAAUCCUUUGUUCCCCGUGGAUUAUAUGUGGUAACGGGCAUUAGGGAGUUGCUGUCAUAUCCCAAUCAAUGUAAAGCUUCUCAGAAGUAUGGCUUCCAUAUUCUGAUCCUUUUUGACAAUUCUUAUCAGAAGAGAAAGUCACGUCCUUCGUAGAGUGUAGUUAGAGGCUAAAGAAGAACUUUCUAAGUUGGACAUAAGAUUGAGCAUGUUCAUUACAGGCUAAAUCUUUAACUACACAAUUUUGAGG
Molecule: long non-coding RNA, 964 nt
Organism: Lycium ferocissimum
Lineage: Eukaryota; Viridiplantae; Streptophyta; Magnoliopsida; Solanales; Solanaceae
Exons: 3
Source: RefSeq, a predicted model, not a curated record